ACUCAAAUGAAUUGACGGGGGCCCGCACAAGCGGCGGAGCAUGCGGAUUAAUUCGAUGCAACGCGAAGAACCUUACCUGGGUUUGACAUGCACUAGACGACAUCAGAGAUGGUGUUUCCUUUUUGGCUGGUGUGCAGGUGGUGCAUGGCUGUCGUCAGCUCGUGUCGUGAGAUGUUGGGUUAAGUCCCGCAACGAGCGCAACCCUCGUCCUAUGUUGCCAGCACGUAAUGGUGGGGACUCAUAGGAGACUGCCGGGGUCAACUCGGAGGAAGGUGGGGAUGACGUCAAGUCUUCAUGCCCCUUAUGUCCAGGGCUUCACGCAUGCUACAAUGGCCGGUACAGACCGCUGCGAUCCCGCGAGGGUGAGCGAAUCGGAAAAAGCCGGUCUCAGUUCGGAUUGGGGUCUGCAACUCGACCCCAUGAAGUCGGAGUCGCUAGUAAUCGCAGAUCAGCAACGCUGCGGUGAAUACGUUCCCGGGCCUUGUACACACCGCCCGU
This 498-nucleotide ribosomal RNA is filed under the name uncultured bacterium. RNAcentral describes it as "partial 16S ribosomal RNA". It matches the Rfam family "Bacterial small subunit ribosomal RNA", at positions 899 to 1397 of the family's 1533-position model. The record is from RNAcentral.